UCAACCUCCUGGAAUACUGGACCACCUGUUCUUCCCAACCGUCUCAAUUUACUCCGGGAUAUGGCGAGCUGCAGCUACCCGGUGGCAUCAGCAUACAGAGCUCAUGCAUAACGCAAUGUUGGUCGUUGCGGAGACCUUGCUGAAAAUGUUGAUUGAGCUUUCGAGGAUCAGAUAGCCUUGGAGAAGAAAAAAGAACUGAAGAGAGCUGUCUGCUAGAGGGCGCUGCUCAUCAAGAUCAAUGGGGUUCUCCUAAGGUGACGUCAGCUCAGAGGAUGCUUCCACAUAUUCCUCAAAAUU
Hippoglossus stenolepis (Pacific halibut) is the source of this 297-nucleotide long non-coding RNA. RefSeq lists it as uncharacterized. The transcript is spliced from 3 exons. NCBI's taxonomy places the organism in Eukaryota, Metazoa, Chordata, Actinopteri, Pleuronectiformes, Pleuronectidae. The record is from RefSeq and is a predicted model, not a curated record.